UUAUUUUCCCAAACACCUGGAAGCAAUAUGCUUUGGGGCUUAAAUCUCCCUUUGAAAACAAGACAGCACUUAGUGCAUGGCAGCUCUAGGGCAAUGUAGCACACCCAGAGCAGAAGUUCUACUUCAGCCAGAUCAGGCCUGCCAACAAACUGCAUUUCACAGGCCUUUGUAAGAGAUGUUCCUGGUAGGCUAUAAGAGCACGGUGCAGAGCGAGUUGUUUCUUAGCUGCCAAAAGAGCUGGAAGCAAGAUGGUUUGGGGCCUAAAUGCCCCUUUGGAAACAAGGCAGCACUUCGUGCCUUGCAGCUCUGGGGCAAUGUAGCACACACAGAGCAGAAGUUCUACUUCAGCCAGAUCAUGACUGCAAAGAAACUGCGUUUCUCAGGCCUUUGUAAGAGAUGUUUCCGGUAGGCUGCAAGAGCACUGUGCAGAGCAAGUUGUUUCUUAGCUUCCCAAACACCUUGAUCCAAGAUGCUUUGGGGCUUAAAUCCCCCUUUGCUAACAAGGCAACAACUCAUGCCUUGCAGCUGUAGGGCAAUGUAGCAGACCCGUAGCAGAAGUUCUACUUCAGCCAGAUGAGGCCUGCCAAGAAACUGCAUUUCACAGGCCAUUGUCAGAGACGUUCCCGGUAGACUGUAAGAGCACUGUGCAGAGCGAGUUGUUUCUUAGCUUCCCAACCAGCUGGAAGCAAGAUGGUUUGGGGCCUAAAUCCCCCUUUGCAAACAAGGCAACACUUUGUGUCUUGCAGCACUAGGGCAAUGUAGCACACCCAGAGAAGAAGAUCUAAUUCAGCUAGAUCAGGUCUGCAAAGAAACCGCGUGUCACAGGCAUUUGUAGUAGAUGUUCCCGACAGGCUGUAAGAGCGCUGUGCACAGCGAGUUGUUUCUUAGCUGCCCAAAGAGCUGGAAGCAAGAUGCUUUGGGGUCAAUCUCACCCUUUGGAAACAAGGCAUGACAUUAUGCCUUGCAGCUCUAGGGCAAUGUAGCACACUCAGAGCAGAAGUUCUACUUCAUCAAGAUCAGGCCUGCCAAGGAACUGCGUUUCAAGGCCUUUGUAAGAGAUGUUCCCGGUAGGCUGUAAGAGCACUGUGCAGAGCGAGUUGUUUCUUAGCUUCUCAAACACCUGGUAGCAAGAUGCUUUGGGGCCAAUCUCACGUUAUGGAAACAAGGCAGGACGUUGAGCCUUGCAGCUGUAGGGCAAUGUAGCAGACUCGUAGCAGAAGUUCUACUUCAG
Molecule: long non-coding RNA, 1231 nt
Filed under: Equus caballus (horse)
Lineage: Eukaryota; Metazoa; Chordata; Mammalia; Perissodactyla; Equidae
Description: lncRNA (ENSECAG00000054755.1)
Source: RNAcentral